Molecule: ribosomal RNA, 253 nt
Filed under: uncultured bacterium
Lineage: Bacteria
Description: partial 16S ribosomal RNA
Rfam family: Bacterial small subunit ribosomal RNA
Source: RNAcentral
UACGAAGGGGGCUAGCGUUGUUCGGAAUCACUGGGCGUAAAGCGCGCGGAGGCGGGCCUUUAAGUCAGGGGUGAAAUCCCGGGGCUCAACCUCGGAACUGCCUUUGAUACUGGAGGUCUGGAGACCGGAAGAGGUGAGUGGAAUUCCUAGUGUAGAGGUGAAAUUCGUAGAUAUUAGGAAGAACACCAGUGGCGAAGGCGGCUCACUGGUCCGGUUCCGACGCUGAGGUGCGCUAGCGUGGUGAGCAAACAGG